Molecule: ribosomal RNA, 468 nt
Filed under: uncultured bacterium
Lineage: Bacteria
Description: partial 16S ribosomal RNA
Rfam family: Bacterial small subunit ribosomal RNA
Source: RNAcentral
GACGAACGCUGGCGGCGUGCUUAACACAUGCAAGUCGAACGGAAAGGCCCUGCUUUUGUGGGGUGCUCGAGUGGCGAACGGGUGAGUAACACGUGAGUAACCUGCCCUUGACUUUGGGAUAACUUCAGGAAACUGGGGCUAAUACCGGAUCGGAGCUCCUGCUGCAUGGUGGGGGUUGGAAAGGUUCGGCGGUUGGGGACGGACUCGCGGCUUAUCAGCUUGUUGGUGGAGUAGUGGCUUACCAAGGCUUUGGCGGGUAGCCGGCCUGAGAGGGUGACCGGGCCCAUGAGGACUACGAUACGGCCCAGACUCCUACGGGAGGCAGCAGUGGGGAAUAUUGUACAAUGGGCGGAAGCCUGAUGCAGCAGCGCCGCGUGUGGGAUGACGGCCUUCGGGUUGUAAACCGCUUUCGCCUGUGACGAAGCGUGAGUGACGGUAAUGAGUAAAGAAGCACCGGCUAACUACGUG